This 328-nucleotide ribosomal RNA is filed under the name uncultured eukaryote. Its description in RNAcentral is "partial 18S ribosomal RNA". It matches the Rfam family "Eukaryotic small subunit ribosomal RNA", at positions 1470 to 1796 of the family's 1831-position model. The record is from RNAcentral.
CCCUUAGAUGUCCUGGGCCGCACGCGCGCUACACUGAUGCAUGCAACGAGUUUAUAACCUUGGCCUGAAAGGUCUGGGUAAUCUUUUGAACGUGCAUCGUGAUAGGGAUAGAUUAUUGCAAUUGUUAAUCUUGAACGAGGAAUUCCUAGUAAACGCGAGUCAUCAGCUCGCAUUGAUUACGUCCCUGCCCUUUGUACACACUGCCCGUCGCACCUACCGAUUGAAUGGUUCGGUGAAGAUCUCGGACUUCGAUAUUUAUUCUUUAUUGAGUUUAUAUUGUGGGAAGUUAUCUAAACCUCAUCAUUUAGAGGAAGGUGAAGUCGUAACA